GAGGAAGGAGGGAGGCGUGCCUAAUACAUGCAAGUCGAGCGAACGGACGAGAAGCUUGCUUCUCUGAUGUUAGCGGCGGACGGGUGAGUAACACGUGGAUAACCUACCUAUAAGACUGGGAUAACUUCGGGAAACCGGAGCUAAUACCGGAUGAUAUUUUGAACCGCAUGGUUCAAAAGUGAAAGACGGUCUUGCUGUCACUUAUAGAUGGAUCCGCGCUGCAUUAGCUAGUUGGUAAGGUAACGGCUUACCAAGGCAACGAUGCAUAGCCGACCUGAGAGGGUGAUCGGCCACACUGGAACUGAGACACGGUCCAGACUCCUACGGGGGGCAGCAGUAGGGAAUCUUCCGCAAUGGGCGAAAGCCUGACGGAGCAACGCCGCGUGAGUGAUGAAGGUCUUCGGAUCGUAAAACUCUGUUAUUAGGGAAGAACAUAUGUGUAAGUAACUGUGCACAUCUUGACGGUACCUAAUCAGAAAGCCACGGCUAACUACGUG
RNAcentral lists this ribosomal RNA (497 nucleotides) under uncultured bacterium. Its description in RNAcentral is "partial 16S ribosomal RNA". It matches the Rfam family "Bacterial small subunit ribosomal RNA", at positions 28 to 507 of the family's 1533-position model. The record is from RNAcentral.